AUAUUAGUAAUUUAAUUAAAAUAUUAGCUUUGUAAACUAUUAAUAGAUAUGAUAUCUCUAAUAUA
Molecule: transfer RNA, 65 nt
Filed under: Japanagallia spinosa
Lineage: Eukaryota; Metazoa; Arthropoda; Insecta; Hemiptera; Cicadellidae
Description: tRNA-Thr
Source: RNAcentral